This 301-nucleotide ribosomal RNA is filed under the name uncultured bacterium. Its description in RNAcentral is "partial 16S ribosomal RNA". It matches the Rfam family "Bacterial small subunit ribosomal RNA", at positions 509 to 807 of the family's 1533-position model. The record is from RNAcentral.
CAGUCGCCGCGGGAAUACAGAGGGUGCGAGCGUUAAUCGGAUUUACUGGGCGUAAAGCGUGCGUAGGCGGCUUCUUAAGUCGGAUGUGAAAUCCCUGAGCUUAACUUAGGAAUUGCAUUCGAUACUGGGAAGCUAGAGUAUGGGAGAGGAUGGUAGAAUUCCAGGUGUAGCGGUGAAAUGCGUAGAGAUCUGGAGGAAUACCGAUGGCGAAGGCAGCCAUCUGGCCUAAUACUGACGCUCAUGCACGAAAGCGUGGGGAGCAAACAGGAUUAGAUACCCCUGUAGUCCCUGUCUCUUAUAC